RNAcentral lists this ribosomal RNA (446 nucleotides) under uncultured organism. Its description in RNAcentral is "partial 16S ribosomal RNA". It matches the Rfam family "Bacterial small subunit ribosomal RNA", at positions 335 to 797 of the family's 1533-position model. The record is from RNAcentral.
ACUCCUGCGGGAGGCAGCAGUGGGGAAUAUUGGACAAUGGGCGCAAGCCUGAUCCAGCCAUGCCGCGUGAGUGAUGAAGGCCCUAGGGUUGUAAAGCUCUUUCACCGGUGAAGAUAAUGACGGUAACCGGAGAAGAAGCCCCGGCUAACUUCGUGCCAGCAGCCGCGGUAAUACGAAGGGGGCUAGCGUUGUUCGGAUUUACUGGGCGUAAAGCGCACGUAGGCGGACUAUUAAGUCAGGGGUGAAAUCCCGGGGCUCAACCCCGGAACUGCCUUUGAUACUGGUAGUCUUGAGUUCGAGAGAGGUGAGUGGAAUUCCGAGUGUAGAGGUGAAAUUCGUAGAUAUUCGGAGGAACACCAGUGGCGAAGGCGGCUCACUGGCUCGAUACUGACGCUGAGAUGCGAAAGCGUGGGGAGCAAACAGGAUUAGAAACCCUGGUAGUCCCA